Molecule: long non-coding RNA, 5630 nt
Filed under: Homo sapiens (human)
Lineage: Eukaryota; Metazoa; Chordata; Mammalia; Primates; Hominidae
Description: non-protein coding lnc-TSPYL6-1:1
Source: RNAcentral
UUUUUUUUUUUUUUUUUUUGCAAAUUUGACUCUAUGAGUGUGUCACCACAACGCUGACUUAGUAUUGUGUAUGUAUGUAAAAAAUGUUGAAACUUCCUUAAUGAAUGAAGAGAUGUCCUUUUUGUAUACGUACAUUUGUGAAAGAUAAAAUUUCUUGACAUCCUGGCUUUUUGAGUGACUGCAUAUACAGUGGUGAUCCGUCACAAUUUUUGAUCAAUCUCAUCAAAAGACUUAGGUUGUCCAUCAAGGUAUGUCAGAUGACCAGUUACAAAACUGGUUGCACAGAAUUACCAACUAUAGUGAUAUGCAUUUAUAUAUUUUGCUUUUAGACCUACUUCCUUAUGAAUAUAGUUCAUCUUCUCGUAACUGUUACACCUAUGUGACUGUCAUCAGUACACCUCAGUGUGUACAGUCACAAAAAUACAUACGUUAUUAUUACCUAUCUUCUUCUGCAAACUGGCCUAUGAAGUUUCCGUUGUGUUUUUAAAUGUUUCUCAAAUAAAUCUCCUUUUUAUUUUUAUUUAUUUAUUUUUUUUGAGUCGGAGUCUCUCUCUGUCGCCCAGGCUGGAGUGCAGUGGUGCAAUCUCCGCUCACUGCAACCUCCUUCUCCCAGGUUCAAGCAAUUCUUCCGCCUCAACCUCCCGAGUAGCUGGGAUUAUAGGCGUGCACCACCAUGCCCAGCUAAUUUUUGUAUUUUUAGUAGAAACCAGGUUUCUCCAUGUUGGUCAGGCUGGUCUUGAAUGCCUGACCUCAAGUGAUUGCCCACCUCGGCCCCCCAAAGUGCUGGGAUUACAGGCGUGAGCCACUGUGCCCAGCCUGAAUCCCCUUUUUAAUAUGUUUAAAAACUAGUUUUGUUUUUGUUUUUUGAGACAUAGUCUCGUUCUUGUUCCCCAGGCUGGAGUUAGUGGUUUCUCCAUGUCGGGGUAUUGCACUGGUACCCUUUUUUCUCCUAAUCAUGGUAUGAAUAUUAUGAUUGGAGCUAAGCAGCAAUCUUGAAAUCUUGAGGGAGAGGCCAAGGACAUCAGAGACUUUGUCCCUGACUUCCCUGAGGCACUUUAACAUGCCAGGGGAUGGAGGAAGAAGUGGGGAAUGGGGGAAUGAGGUGGGGAAUGGGAAGCAGCUGGUAAAGGGAAGGAGGGGUGAUGGAAAUGUUCUGGAAUUAAUGGUAAUGCUGCAAAACAUUGUGAAUAUACUAAAAACUACUGUAUAUUUAGUGUUAUGUAAAUUAUAUCUCAAUUUUGUUAAUGCCACACACACAAAAAAAGGAAAGCAGAAAACAGGACUAUGAUGUAGUCCUUCCUACCUCUAUUUGUAGAACAAGGGCAGUCAUUCUCCAAUUUUGCUUACCGUACAACCUCCCUGACUUUUUCCUAUCACUCCAUACCAAAACAACUGCAGUGAAGAUCCUCUUGAAGUACGGCAAGUAGAACUAAAUGACUGAGCUCUCUCUAGAUUUUAUAACUUAUUUCUGCAGGAGAAAGCAUCUUUCUCUCUAGCGGAAAUUCCUUCUGUGAGGAGGCGUAUCAUUAGUGUGUCAUUCCUGGCUACUUUCUACCCUGCCCUUGUCACAGGGACAUGCAGUGACUCAUCUACUGGGUAAAUUUAGAAGGAGAAACAUGCACAGCCCAGGCAUGUCCUCUUCUUCCUCCCGCUGGGAGCAAGUUACCCACAGGGAUCAUACUUCUGGCUCUACCCUAGAGUAGCCUCCCUGUGCCUGAAGUUUGGGGUGGCCACUGUUUAAUUCUGUAGUACAGGUCAUUAUAAAGUCCACUUACCUGCAGAUAGACAUCACAUUCCUAAAACUCCGCUUUACUCUUUGUCUUGACAGUAACUCACACAAUGAAGAUAGGUGUUAUUUGUUGGGCCCCUCAAACUACAACUCUUAUUUUAAAGCCUUGGGAGGAAGGUGAGCCAAGGAGUCUCAAGACUUCUAGCCCAUUAACUCUGCAAGGCACUGAACCAUGCAGGAAUCAACUGCUCAAAGUUUCAUAAGCCACCAGGAAUUUUCCCAGAAUCUUUCUGAGAGUCCUGAUUCCUAGUAUGAAGCAUACUGCACAACAGAUAGAUAUCUAUAUAGAAAGAAAAGGUAGAUGUGGAGACAUUUUUCUGCACUUUAUCAGUGUUGGCUGGAACACAGCCCUCUUGGGACAGGGCUUCUGUAGGAGAUUUAUCUAUGGGCUUUCGUGGCCUCCCCAUACUUUUUCCACCUCACUUGCUGAAGAGAAGGAAAGCUGAUAUGACACAUGCAGGUUUUUUACAGACACUCUGCUCUGGAAACUGGGGCAGACAUCAGCCCUUUUGGUGAUAAAAGACUCCAGCACGAUAUGCUGCUCAGUCAAGGUCCAGUCCACUACAACUGUACCUCACUUUGUGGAAAGAGGUGUCAGUGAGAAACCCUGAGAGGAAUGUUUGCAAAGUAAAUCAUACUUUGAAUUGACAAACACACACUGAUAUUUAAAGAAACCUGUGAUGAGUUUUAAAUGUCAACACCUUUUCAUGUAAAAUCCUAUUUUUUAUAUUGUAACCUACCAUUUCAUCCUGGGAUCUGACUGCAUGUGUCAAUUUUGAAUGCAGGAAGUGAUCUAUAUGCUGCCUUACAAAGCAGCCCUUAAUGACUGUAAAUAUCUUUAAUUGUUACAAAGCUUUCCUUAUGUGGAAUAAAAUUCUGCCUUACUUAACCUUUCACCAUCAGUCCAGGUUCUGUUCCCUGGAGCCAUACACCACGGCAUCUUUCAAACAGUUAAAACAGCCAUCACACUACAAUUUCUUCUCCAAGCCAGAUAUCCCCAAAUACUUCAAUUUAAUUCAGUUCACUUUUGAAGGACCCACUAGAGGCGUAGCCGUGUAGGGGAUAUGAAAACAAGCCACCAGCCUGACCUUCAAAAUACUGUCAUUAUUUUCUAGUGAGAGACACAUACAAGUGUACACAGAUAACUGUAGCUGAAAGCAGAAUGAUUAAAAGGAUAAACACAAAGUAUAACUACUAUAAAUAAAAUACUAUAAGAACAAAGACAGGAGAGGGAAUUAGAGUUAACCAUAUUUAUGUUUCUUGACUUUAAUGGUGGUACUUAAUAUUUUCAACCUCUAAAACACAGCUUUUCCAUUUACUUGUCUAUGUAAGAAAAAUGUGUACUUCUAAAUCAUGCAUUAUCUGACAAAGCCAUUUAAUAAUUCAUCCCAGUUUUCAUUUUAAGCAAUAUUUAAGAAAUAUGGUAUUCAUCUCAGUUAUAGCAGUAGGAAACAGACAAAUUCCUCGGUAGACAGGGACAGGUCUCCGGUGAAACCAGACCUUCAAGUGAAACCUGAAACCGAGUUGCCAGUUCCAGGUGGAGUCCACAACCAGAGUGAGAACUUCCUCGAUGCCUUUUAGCCAACUGAAUGGUGCUUUUUCCAGGCCCACCCAUGGAACAAUUAGCAUACACCCCAUUCUGAGCCCAUAAAAACCCCAGACUCAGCCUUACAGAUGGCUAUCCACUUUCAGGCCCCCUCUCACACAGAGGGCUACCCACUUCGGGUCCCCUCUCUUUAUCGAGAGCUUUUCUGUCAGUCAAUAAAAUUCUUCUCUGCCUUGUUCACUCUCCAGUGUCCGCGUACCUCAUUCCUCUUGGUCAUGGGACAAGAGCGAAUGGCAGGUGCAAAAAGAGCUGUAACAUAUGCUCAUGCUCGCCGAGCUAUAGGAGUGAAAAAACCAUUGUGUGCCAACAUGCCCCCAUUUGCUGAGCUGCAGGCAGCAGGACCCAAUGAGUUGUGACACGCUCCCAUUCACUGAAGCUGCAGACAGCAGAAAUGAACGACAGUGUAACACUUUCUGGAGGCUCAGGCCUCAGGACUCCCCAAGCAAAAGCUGUAACACACCUUGGGGCUCUGUGGUUGCUGGCAUCUCCAAGUUAUUGGGCACUGCCACAUCCCCCUCAUCCAGACACCAGCAUCCAAGGUAGAAGUUGGUCACGGCACCCCUGGACCAGCUGCGGGCUGACCACAGAGCCAAGGCAAGCGCAGGAUCCAGACCAGUAGCACAGCCUGAGCGCAGUCUGCUGGGCCAAGUGGGCAGAGUAAGCCCAGUGGGCCCAAGCAAAGCCUGGGCAGAGGUGCCACUAGCCGUGGAGAUUUCUGGCUGGCAAAGUGGCACUGAAAGAAUUCUGUGUCAUCAGUAGUCAAAUAAGCUACUCUUAUUCUAAAAAAACUCAGUCAAAAAAAAAUUCUAAGCACAUGUAUACCAACAGAUAGUCACAAUGCAUUUCUAGGAGUGUCAUUAGUAUUCCCCUGAGAGCUGGUAAAGCAUCAAAGCAUCUAUACACAGCAUAAUCAAUUUCCCUUUCAAAUUUUCAGAUUAUAUUAUUCUAGAUGUAAAUAUAAUUAAACAUCUAUAGAAACAUUAUAAACCAGGCCACAGUUACAAACACUCUAAAAGCACAGGGGCUCAGUCCCCAGCUCUCUUAACCCUCUCCCAAAGUCCUUGAUGCAAGGGAAGUUGAUGGGGAAAAAACGUGGAGCUCCUUGAGAAUGUGAAGAUUUUUUAAAGUACAGGAUGAAAAGAGAGAGAGAAAAAAAAGAGUAACUUUAGAGUGGAGAAACCAGACAAACACUAUCACAGCCAGGUGAUCAAGGUUAACAUCAACAGUGAUAAGUCAGAUUGACAGUAUAUACCCUUGAUAGGUGUGACAAGAGCAGCACUUCACCUCUGUGGUCUUCCUUCCAAUACCCCAUUAUCCCAGUCUUAUCAUAACAAAAAUAUCAGACAAAUCCCAAUUGGGGAGCAUUCUACAAAGUACUUGACCUCAAAGUACUCCUUAAAACUGCCAACGUCAUCGACAACAAGGUAAGUCUAACAGAAUGUCACAGCCUCAAGGAGCCUGAGGAGGCAAGGGGGCUAAAUGUAUCUGGAUGGGAUCCUGGAACCAAAAAAAAGACAUUAGGUAAAAACUAAGGAAACCUUGAAAAAAGUAAGGACUUUAGUUCAUAAUAAUGUAUCCAUAUUGGCUUAAACCAGUUGUACGGUCCCUAUACUAACAACACAUCAUUUUUGGUUGGAAAACGUUUUCUGCAAUAAACUCAAGCAAGCCAAUUUAAUUCAUUGAUCAAUUUUCCAUACAGGAGGGUUAAAACAUUUUCCAUUUUUUCCAUGUUCACUUUCAUGUCAUUGAAACAAUUUUCACUGGGAAUAGUUUCCACUCAAAUAUUUUAAUGAUGACUUUAUCAAUCCGUAUUUUGUCCAUAAUAAAUGUUCCCAAUUAUAGGUUCUUCCAUUGCGAAUUUACUUUCAUAGCCAUUAUUUCUAACAAGACAGUUUUCACUAAAAUUUUAUUAUUCCAUACUUUAUUUAUUUUAUUGUUUCUUUAGAGACAGUCUCACUCUGUUGCCCAGGCUAGUGGCUCAUGCUUAUAAGGCCAGAACUUUGUGAGGCCGAGGUGGGAGGCUUGCUUGAGGCCAGGAGUUCAAAACCAGCCUAGUCAACAUAGUGAGACUCCCUCUCUACCAAGGAAAAAUUAAAAAGUUAGCUGGGCAUGGUGACUCAUGCCUGUAGUCCCAACUACUCAAGAGGAGGCUGAGGCAGGAAGAUCAUAUGAGCCCAGGAGCUCAAGGCUGCAGUGAGCUAUGAUCUUGCCCGGGUGACAUAAUGAGACCCUGUU